RNAcentral lists this long non-coding RNA (3667 nucleotides) under Citrus x clementina. RNAcentral's name for it is "Citrus clementina (C. clementina) long non-coding RNA (CCLE_LNC005579)". The record is from RNAcentral. Lineage: Eukaryota; Viridiplantae; Streptophyta; Magnoliopsida; Sapindales; Rutaceae.
UUUCAGUAUAACCCAUAAACUGACUUGAUCGUCGGAGGGUUAAUGUCGGAAAAACUUCUGGCGCCUCUUACCGUCUUUUGUGGUUUCAAGUGUUGACUAAUCAUCAGUUCGCAGAUUAUCUGCUCAUAAUCGAAGGAUUUUCGUACAGAUUAACAAACUACUUCCCCACUAAACAAAUUAAAUGUUGAUGCAAGGGUCUGGUGUUAAGUAGCUAACCAUCUCGACUAGAUUUCAGUAUCAACAAUAUAUAUAUGUGUGUGUGUAUGUAUGUAAAGAAAAACUCUCUCCUUAAUUUUUGGUUUCUUAUCUAUAGAAUUUGAAAAAUCAUGCUAGCUAGCUGGCUCUUUCAUCCAAAUUAUAUAUAUUGGUAUAUUGCUAGAUGACUUGACUAUGCAUGUUAUGAAUUAUAUUCCACGGCAUGCUUGAUGACUUGGCUCUUUUGUCCAAAUUAUAUAUAUUGGCAUCUUGCUAGUUGACUUGACUAUGUAUGUUAUGAAUUGUAUUCCACGGCAUGCAUGAUUGAUUGGCGGCUCAAAGCAAAAAAUUGAAAGCAUCUUUUCAAUCACUUUAAUGGCUUUUUAAUUACGUAUUGAUGCAUUGAAGGGUAAGUACUAUUAACGCUUGUUCUUGUCAACUAAUAAAUUAAAACAAAAUUACAAUGAAUUUGUUUUAGCUAUUUGCCAGUGUCCCCUCUUUUAUUCCUUUAACGAUUUUUUAUUUAUAAUACAAAUUUUUUGGUAUUCUAAGUCGUUAAUGUCUACUUAUUUUGAUUUGCUUCUACUAUUUAAUUAGAGUUUGAUUCAGAGUUUAUAUUUAUCUCAUUCUCAAAGUUAGUUUCUGAAGCUUUUAGAAUUUUUUUUUGGGCAUUCACCAUCACUUUAUCUUGUAUGCGCAUACUCCAUUUUAAUUAAUUAUUUGACUUUUCAUUCUCCAUGUUCCAUUCUCCCUGCUUACUCUACUUUAAUUAAUUAUUUUAUUUUUUAUGCUCCAUGCUUCAUGCUUCAUUGUCUUUUGUGCAUGGCUUUACAUGCUUUACUUUUCCUGCUAACAAUUGCUCCUUCAUUUUCAAUGCUUAAAAGAGCUAUCUCCUCACCUAUAUAUAUUGGUUAUUGUCUCUUCCACCCAUCAACCAAGCUAAUUCUUACUUAUAUAAAUUGGUCAUUUUAUCCCCCAUUUGAAGGUGGCUGAAAUUUUGUACCUUUACACGUAUUUGUAACUUGUGGAGAACUUGUCACGAGCCUUGACCUCGAAUCCGGAGGGGUAAGUACUUGAAAAAGGCACUCCGACGCCUAAGUUAGUGUUUGAUUAAGAUUAAAGAAAGAAGAAAAAUGGAGAAGAUGAGUUUCUCUCUCUAGAUAUGAACAAUGUUUUUUUUUAGGACAAAGACCCUUUUUUUCUUUUAGAGAUAUGUCUCUAUUUAUAGAUGAUGAGUGAUGUGGAUUUAGAGUUUUGUUUUGAACCCUCAAUCUAACGACAUGUGUCACCCAUCAUUCAUGUACACGUGGAGGUGAAUAUGAACUAGGGAAUUAUUCUGGCCCUUUAUGUUUCCUUACUCGUAUGACUUUUGGACGUGAUUUCCUUAGGCUAAUGAAUUACAGAAUUAAUUCCCCCUUCUUGCCAUUUUUAUAAGUUUCGGAAGAAUUUUUUCCUUAGAUGUUAUUCCUUCAGAAUAGCUUUUGUUAUCUAAUAAGAUGGACACGUGGCAUGAUUAGGUGCCUUUUGGAAUAUGGAACGUACACUACUACCCCCGCAAGUGUAUUUUCUUUAGAAAAUACUUUAAUUGAAAUAAGAAGUUAUAACUUUUGUUUGACUGACCACGUAGCCUUUUGGAAAGGACUAUGCGUUAGGCGUUUAGAUAUAUUUUGGAAGGAAUGUGUCAAUGAACUUUUCUCUUAUUGAGUUAGGAAAAAGUGAAUUGUUUCCUCUGAAUUGAAAUUCUUAGAUGAAAUGCUAGCUCUUUGAAUUCUUCCUCUAAAUAGAAGUUUCAGGACGAAAUGGUAGUUAUUCUUUGAGCUUUUCCCUUGAACUAAAGUUUCGAGAAGAAAUGUUAGUUUCCGCAACUUCUUUUCUUUUUUUGUAAACCAAAGUUAUAAGCGAAAAUGUGAAUUUUUCAUACGCAUUCCAGUUAGUCCAGGAAUGGUUUACCAAAAUUUUUAUUUUUACUCUAGAAUUUUGGUAAGCAAAUAUUUUAUGCCUUGGUUUAAAAUGACUCAUUUUUGUCUUGCCUUGUAUAUGGUUGGUCAUACCUUAGUUUGACUUUCUUUUGUUGGCUUUGGCUUUUGUUUUCUUUAGUUAGCUUUUGCCUUGGUUUUUCCUUAACUUUUGUUUGUCACGGUCUUUCCUUAGCCUCUGUUUACCUUGUUGGGUAUUGAUUUUCUCAUGGCUUGGCAUGCUCUUCUUUUCUUAACUUUUGUUUAACUAGGUUUUCCUUAACCUUCAGUUACCUUACAUGGCAUUGAUAUUUUCUGGGCAUAGGAAAAAAUGACUUAUUCCAGAGGAAUAUUAUCAUAACAUUUUUCUCCUUGUUGGCCUAAAGAUGUUUGUCCUCGUCAUUAGCUUUAGGAGAAUGAAAUAUUUUUCAAAAAGAUAUUGUUAUGAAAUUUUUUGUCUUUAUUGGCCUUCGGAAUUUUUUUUUCUUAGUAGAAGAAAAGUGACUUAUUUUAGAGGAAUAAUAUUACGAAACUUUUCUCUUUAUCGACCUAGGGAAAGUUUUCCCUUUUUAUUGACCUCAGGAAAAAUGAGUUAUUCCAAGGAAUUGUUUGGAAAUUUUUCCUAAUCAUUAUAAGGAAAAAUGAUCUAUUCCAGAAGAAUAUAAGUAAAAAACUUUUCCUUCUUGGCCUAGACAAGUUUUUUUUUUCUUGCUUUGUUGGCUCAGGGAGAAGCAAGCUAUUCUGAGUGAAUAUUAUUAUGGAACUUUUCCUCGUACUUGACCUAGGAAAAGUUUCCCCUCUUUCUUAGCUUAGGGGAAGUUUUUCCUCUUUCUUAGCCUAGGAAAAAUGAGUGAAUCCGGAAGAAUAUUAUUGGGGGAUUUUACUGCCUUCUUGAAGCAGAGAAGAGUGAUAUUUUCUUAGCUUAGCUUAUUCUUAUGGCCCUGACUUUUGAUAUACUAAAUAUUUAAUGGGAUAUUACUUCCUCCUUAAACUAGUAACAAUCUGGCUAUUGUUAUUAAUGUGUAAUGGUAAUGAUUAAGUAUUUAUUGGUUUAGGAGAAAAUGAAAUAUUCUAAAGGAAUAUCAAUGAGAACUUUUCUUCUUUAUUGGCUUAGGAAAGUUUUUCCUCUUUGUUCUCUUUGUGGAAGCAGGGAAAAGUGAACUAUUAACUGCAGGAAUAUGAUUUGAGAACUUUUCUCUUUGUUGCCCUAGGAGGUUUAGAGAAAUUUUCUCCUUGUUGUCCUAGGAGGUUUCUCCUCUUUAUUAGCCUAGGAAAAAGUGAACUAGUCUGAGUGAAUGUUAUUAGGGAAUUUUUCCUCAUCAUUGGUUUAAGGAAAAUUUUCCUCACUGUUAGCCUAGAAAGCUUUUCCUCUCUGGGCUAAUUUUUUCUUCAUUGGCAUACGGAAAAGUGACAUUUUCUGGAGGAAUAUUAUUAUAAUUUUUUUCCUUUUUGGCAUUGGGAAUAUUUUUCCUCUUUGUUGGCUUAAGAAAAUUUUCCUUCUUCUUGAAGUGGGAAAA